GGCGAACCCUGCGAACUGAAACAUCUCAGUAGCAGGAGGAAAGGACAUCAACCGAGACUCCGUUAGUAGUGGCGAGCGAACGCGGACCAGGCCAGUGGUUCUUCACGGAUUAGCAAAACGGUUUGGAAAGGCCCGCCAGAGUGGGUGAUAGCCCCGUAUGGGACAUGAAGUGAGGGACCCAUGAGUAGGGCGGGACACGUGUAAUCCUGUCUGAAUUUAGGGGGACCACCCUCUAAGCCUAAGUACUCCUCAGUGACCGAUAGUGCACCAGUACCGUGAGGGAAAGGUGAAAAGCACCCCGAUAAGGGGAGUGAAACAGUACCUGAAACCGGAUGCCUACAAGCAGUCGGAGCCUCUUUAUGGGGUGACGGCGUACCUC
RNAcentral lists this ribosomal RNA (379 nucleotides) under Leclercia adecarboxylata. Its description in RNAcentral is "partial 23S ribosomal RNA". It matches the Rfam family "Bacterial large subunit ribosomal RNA", at positions 178 to 607 of the family's 2925-position model. The record is from RNAcentral. Lineage: Bacteria; Pseudomonadati; Pseudomonadota; Gammaproteobacteria; Enterobacterales; Enterobacteriaceae.